RNAcentral lists this ribosomal RNA (472 nucleotides) under uncultured bacterium. RNAcentral describes it as "partial 16S ribosomal RNA". It matches the Rfam family "Bacterial small subunit ribosomal RNA", at positions 28 to 507 of the family's 1533-position model. The record is from RNAcentral.
GACGAACGCUGGCGGCGUGCUUAACACAUGCAAGUCGAACGCUGAAGCUUGGUGCUUGCACUGGGUGGAUGAGUGGCGAACGGGUGAGUAAUACGUGAGUAACCUGCCCUUGACUCUGGGAUAAGCCUGGGAAACUGGGUCUAAUACUGGAUACGACAUGUCACCGCAUGGUGGUGUGUGGAAAGGGUUUUACUGGUUUUGGAUGGGCUCACGGCCUAUCAGCUUGUUGGUGGGGUAAUGGCCCACCAAGGCGACGACGGGUAGCCGGCCUGAGAGGGUGACCGGCCACACUGGGACUGAGACACGGCCCAGACUCCUACGGGAGGCAGCAGUGGGGAAUAUUGCACAAUGGGCGGAAGCCUGAUGCAGCGACGCCGCGUGAGGGAUGACGGCCUUCGGGUUGUAAACCUCUUUCAGCACGGAAGAAGCGAAAGUGACGGUACGUGCAGAAGAAGCGCCGGCUAACUACGUG